Oryctolagus cuniculus (rabbit) is the source of this 692-nucleotide non-coding RNA. The record is from RefSeq and is a predicted model, not a curated record. NCBI's taxonomy places the organism in Eukaryota, Metazoa, Chordata, Mammalia, Lagomorpha, Leporidae.
CAGGGGUCGCCCCCGCUCAGUUAGCCUGCACCGGGCAGGUCUCGAUCCCACGGAUCCCACGCCUGCCUGCUCCACCAGAGCGGGCGUGCCCGGCGGCGAGCUUGGUUCCGGGCCAACAAACUUCGUCGGGACCCCGCAGCGCCCGAGCCGGCUGCGCGCGCCGCCUGCUUCCCACGGCCGCUGUGGCAGUGGCGGCGCCAGCGCGCUGAAGGCGGGGGCGGCCGGGUUCCCGCGGCCGAGGAGGGGGCCGCGUCGGGCGAGCGCCCGGCGCGGGACGUUCCCGCGGAGACGGCGAGGACGGCUGGGACGGCGGCGGCGCUCUGUCGGGCCGCGCUGCGCAUGCUGCAGGGUAUUUGAUGUCGGGUUUCACCUGCGUCAGCAUUGCUCCCUAGUUGUGCCUUACCAGUGCACAGAGCCCGAGAACCCACCUGGGACGGAAGUGGAACGCAGAAAGCCUGCAUUAUGCGAGCAUGCGAACGCGAAGUCCAGUGUAGGUAGCCUGGAAAAGCGGCCGUGUCUGCCAGUCGUUUUCUGGCCCCGUCUCUGAGCUACCUACGGGCAUGCGGAAUUGCAGGUGUGCGUUAUCCAACCCGCCGAAACCAACAGACAUGUGUGGCACGGUUGUUUUUUUUUUUCUUUUUUGAAAUAUGUUCUUGAAAAGCAGAUGCACGCCAAGUGAGCAGACUCGCGAG